Long non-coding RNA from Dreissena polymorpha, 2602 nucleotides. RefSeq lists it as uncharacterized. The record is from RefSeq and is a predicted model, not a curated record. The transcript is spliced from 6 exons. NCBI's taxonomy places the organism in Eukaryota, Metazoa, Mollusca, Bivalvia, Myida, Dreissenidae.
CAAGCAAAACCGAUUGUAAGCCAUCUUGAAUUGUUAGCGUGAAAAGAAAUAUACUACAUUUAUUGGAUAUUUUAAUAUGAUGAAUAUUCUAGGUAGAGAAUAUGGAUAGUAUUAUCAUUAUUAGUAUUACGUCAACAUUAACUCAACAAUUGUAUUGUUGACAUGAAGAAAAAGCUAUUUCGAGGUUGUUUUGACCAUUGAUUGCUAAUAACACCUGGCGCCGUGACCUGGAUGCAGAUUCUAAGCAGAUGGGCCAAAAUGGGGGCAGCUAGAGAGACUCGCCUGGAACUGACAAGCCUGGAGGGAGCUGGUUGACUGUUGGCGAGAUGGGACAACAGACGAAGAAUAAACGAACCUACUUGAUUUGAUAAACAUUUUUAUGUUUUUCAGUUUCGUCGGAAGACAUUUCCCACCAACCAUCCUGUCUUGAAAGAAAUAACUUUUGAACCCGAUUAUCUGAUAUUUUCCAGUUUCCCCUCACAACAAUUUGCAUCAAACCUCUUGUCUGCUCCUCAGCUGAAAUCAUCAUCUAGCACUCACAAUAGUUGAGCGGUUGGAGAGGCAUGCAUUGCGUCCUACUACUGCUCAGACUAUAUUAUGUUUGGCAGACAAAACAUGCUGAUCAAAAAGAAUGUGUACCACAGGGGCCAGUGUUUCCAUUUGAGUGAUUGACAAGAAGAAGAGAUGAGAAAUGUUAUCAUCAUAUUUUAGUCCCUACAUUUAUAGUGUACAGCUCAAUGUAUUGAACCGGUGUUGUAGAAUAUAAUUGGAGAUACAUGCGAACAUUAUAACAUUAUAUAUAAGAUGAUAUUUCAAAAGCAAUACGAAAUAAAAAGUAUAAAAAGGUCAAAACAGUAAACCUUGUGUUUACAGUGGACAGGUUUAAAGUGGAAGUGACUAGUUAAUUGUUGAUCAUAAGCUGCACUGAUGGAAAAAAUAGUGGGAAAUUACUAUCUAGAAAACUGUUUAACGUACGACAACAGUUGUGGAACUUCAUAAAUGACCGUAUGUAACAGGGCUGGGCAGUUUUCCUUAUAUAGCUAUAGUGAAACCUUUUGAACACUAGUGAAGUCACUGUUUUUUUUCCAAUCUUCAUGCAUUUUGGUCGAAUAUUUGUUCAAAUGAUGGCUCAGUCCAGUUUCGAAAUUUUUAUGUCUAUUCAAAAAACAUAUCCACUAGAGCACGAGGCAAUUGUCUUUAUAUGGCUAUAAUGAAACCUUGUAAAUUCUCUAGAAGUGACAUUUUUAGCCAUAUCUCCAUAAAUUUUGGUCAGAAUAUUUAUUCUAAUGAUAGCUCAGUUGUCGAGUUUGUAACUGGUUCCGGUUUGUAGACUAACAUGGCUGCCAGUGGACAUGACAGUUUUUCUUAAUGUGCUAGAGUAGAACCUUGUUAACACACAAUUGGCCCUUUUUAUGUGCAUUUUUCAUGAAAGAUGAUCAGAGCAUUUGGCCCAAUGUAAUCUCAGCUGACUUUGAAACUGGAUCACAUAACGUCAAAAAGUGGGUCAAAAUGUCAAAUUAAAAAAAGCUUGUAAACACUGGAAGUUGCAUUUAAAAUUGUGUUCCUUUUUUAUGUCCCCCACUAUAGUAGUGGGGGACAUAUUGUUUUUGCCCUGUCUGUUGGUUGGUCUGUUGGUUGGUUGGUUUGCGCCAACUUUAACAUUUGCAAUAACUUUUUCAAUAUUGAAGAUAGGAACUUGAUAUUUUGCAUGCAUAUGUAUCUCAUGGAGCUGCACAUUUUGAGUGGUGAAAGGUCAAGGUCAUCCUUCAAGGUCAAAGGACAAAUAUAUGGGUCAAAAUCGCUCAUUUAAUGUACACUUUUGCAGUAUUUCAAUAUUCAAGAUAGCAACUUGAUAUUUGGCAUGCAUGUGUAUCUCAUUGAGCUGCACAUUUUUAGUGGUGAAAGGUCAAGGUCAUCCUUCAAGGUCAAAUAUAUGGGUCAAAAUUGAUCAUGUAAUGUCACUUCUUCAAUAUUGAAGCUAGCAAUUUUAUAUUUGAAAUGCAUGUGUAUCUCAUGGAGCUGCACAUUUUGAGUGGUGAAGGGUCAAGGUCAUCCUACAAGGUCAAACGUCAUAUAGGGGGACAUUGUGUUUCACAAACACAUCUUGUUUAAAGUUUGUCAAAACAUUUGCUGUAAUGAUAAGCAAAGUCAAGUUUAUAAAUAAUAAUUUGUCUACAAAUUACAUAUUUUUCAUUAAGUUCAUUUAUUAUUCUAAACUACACCCUCUCAGAAUAGUUUAGUUACUUCUGGUCACAGUUGAGCACCUUAGGGCUCUUGUUCUAUAAUUUGAUUGUUUUGGAAAAUUGUCAUUUUGUCAAAAUGUGAGCAAGUCCAAAUUUAAUUAACCCUGCUUUGUAGUAUCUUGUUUUCCUUAUAUGUAAAAAGUGGAAAAUUAUCUAUGAAUCUGACUGCAUAGAUAUUUGGUAUUCAGCAAAGCAUCAUGUAAAUGUAGUAAAACUAAACACAAUUGUGUUAGCAUAAAACUGGCCAUGCCAUGGGGGUCAAAUGGUUAAUACAGACUUGUAGGAAAAAGACUUCUAAAAAUUUUAUCAGUUAAAUAUAUUUUGUGUACAUAAUGAUUAGCUUUUUCCUUCAACUUAUC